AUCUGGUUCAGGAUGAACGCUAGCGACAGGCUAACACAUGCAAGUCGAGGGGCAGCAUAAAAGUAGCAAUACUUGGUGGCGACCGGCGCACGGGUGAGUAACGCGUAUGCAACCUACCUAGUCAGAGGGGAAUAACCCGGCGAAAGUCGGACUAAUACCGCAUAAAACAGGGGCACCGCAUGGUGAUAUUUGUUAAAGAAAUUCGCUGAUAGAUGGGCAUGCGUUCCAUUAGGUAGUUGGUGAGGUAACGGCUCACCAAGCCGACGAUGGAUAGGGGAACUGAGAGGUUGGUCCCCCACACUGGUACUGAGACACGGACCAGACUCCUACGGGAGGCAGCAGUGAGGAAUAUUGGUCAAUGGGCGGGAGCCUGAACCAGCCAAGUCCGCGUGAAGGAAGAAGGAUCUAUGGUUCGUAAACUUCUUUUGCAGGGGAAUAAAGUGCAGGACGUGUCCUGUUUUGUAUGUACCCUGAGAAUAAGGAUCGGCUAACUCCGUGCCAGCCGCGGC
RNAcentral lists this ribosomal RNA (509 nucleotides) under uncultured bacterium. Its description in RNAcentral is "bacterial SSU rRNA". It matches the Rfam family "Bacterial small subunit ribosomal RNA", at positions 17 to 518 of the family's 1533-position model. The record is from RNAcentral.